RNAcentral lists this long non-coding RNA (1013 nucleotides) under Homo sapiens (human). RNAcentral describes it as "HSALNT0039645". The record is from RNAcentral. Lineage: Eukaryota; Metazoa; Chordata; Mammalia; Primates; Hominidae.
CAGGGAGGGCCUGAAGGCUGGGGGCUGGGCUUCCAGUCCCACGGACUGGAGUGGGAACUCGUAGUGCCUCUUCUGGCCCGCCCAUGGCUGCCCGUGGACCAAUCAGCACGCACUUCCUCCCCUUUGAGUUCCAUAAAAGCCCUGGGCUCAGCCAGCGCAAGGCAGAAGACAGCAAGAGGACGACAAAGGUGGCGAGAUGAUGGGAGUGGGAUUCCAGCGGUGGGACGACAAGCUGCAGAGCAGUCCUUUUUUGCUGAGAACUUCAGAGACCUGCAGAGAGGUCAGAAUGACUUUCUUGCAGAGAUGAGUCACUUUCUCCAGGGAGGUCUCUUUGCUAAGACGCUGAACACUGGACUGGAUGACCGGCCUACAGAGAGGAACUACCCAUUUCUUUCUGCUUCUUGCCUACAAGCUUUCGAUGGCUCACAGCACCUAAGGAUAAGUGUUCUAAUCCUUCACCUGCCGUGUGAGGACUCUUCAUGUGUCAAUGUAGCUUUCCAACGUCACACCCAUCCUCUGUUUUAUUCAAGUAUUCCGUUCUUAAAGGAAUGAAAACUCUGACCUGUGACUACACAUUUAAUGUCCUGUUUCAUUUUCUUUGCUACUGUGAAAAUGUGGCAGACCCUGAAAUUUUGACACUCCACAGACAGUGCUCCUCAUCUGAUGUUAGCCUUUGUAAAUGUCAGUCCUACCUAGGUGCCUUCUUAUAAUAGUAGCUGGAUAAAUGGGUUCUCGGAUUAGAAUGAUCACUGAGAAUGAUUGAACUUAAUAAAAAGGCAAUGAUUGUACAGUCAACUUAGUAGUUACAUUCAGCAAACUGCAUGCCAGACAUUUGGGUAUAAAUGGAGACUUUGACUUCCUUCCACUCGGUAUCUACUGGUACUCACUGAUAACCUGAUCACUGUGGGUGUGAUGUCUUUACUGAUACCUGGACCCUUUUCUCCAGGCAUUUUUCCCAUUCUGUUGAUCCUGUUCUGUGAGCCCUUGUUAACAACAAAUCUUUAUCUUGGCAU